GGGCCUGUAACUCAGUGGUAGAGUAUCUGACUUUUAAUCAGAGAGUCGAUGGUUCAAGUCCAUCCAGGCUCACCA
RNAcentral lists this transfer RNA (75 nucleotides) under Candidatus Cloacimonadota bacterium. RNAcentral describes it as "tRNA-Lys". It matches the Rfam family "tRNA". Rfam says of the family: Transfer RNA (tRNA) molecules are approximately 80 nucleotides in length. Lineage: Bacteria; Pseudomonadati; Candidatus Cloacimonadota. The record is from RNAcentral.